Mauremys reevesii (Reeves's turtle) is the source of this 1013-nucleotide long non-coding RNA. RefSeq lists it as uncharacterized. The record is from RefSeq and is a predicted model, not a curated record. NCBI's taxonomy places the organism in Eukaryota, Metazoa, Chordata, Testudines, Geoemydidae. The transcript is spliced from 3 exons.
CUGUGAUGGAGUUGGCACCAGAAGCCCUUUUUCUAGAUCUUUAGAUGACAGUAAAGCCUUGAUUCUAGUCAGGCUUUUGACAGUCCCACAUGACACUCUCAUAAGCAAACUACCAAAGCAGCGUCUAGAUGAAAUGACCAGAAGAAUCAAGCAAUGCUCUCUGGAAACUGGAUCUGCAUUAUCUAGCUCUGGUGGACGGUCUCAGAAGUUUCACAUCCCAGAAACAAAACAACGCGGAAAGCUGAUGCAAAAACUCUAUAGAAAUCUUCACUGGCCUUGUCUACUCUACCACAGAAUACUGCUCACCUGUCUGGUCACACAGCUCGACAUGUCACUUCUGGACUUCCCACCACCAUGCAGAUCACUACAGGCACAGUAAAAACACGACAAUUGUGGCUUUCUGUACCGACACAUCCACACACAACAAAUCUGCUGCAACAUGAGAAUCCUUUGAGUCCCAUCGGAUUUGAGGGAACAACGAUCUUCCAAUACAUGAAGCCCUAAAUAACAUACCAAGAUUCUGACUGAAAUCUAGAAAAAUCUUGUUCCUUUGCAGUGCAAGAGCUUGAAGACUCAGGGUUCUUCCCCAAUCAUCAAGAUGAAAGGUCGCUAAUGUCCCAAACAAACACCUCAUUAAGGACCCAACUAAAGAAUCCUGUGGCUUCUCAGUCCCAUGGAAACUACGGUCCACUUUGAACUGCAUCUGUGUAUCACAGGGCAGAUGCACCUAGCUCCUCCAUACAUGGGGACAGACAAUGCUAUUUGUGAUUGGAGAAACGAACUUCAAACUAUAGAACAUCUGGUCAAGUAGUGUCCUAAAAUGAUUGUAUCUUGAUAUGCUCCACCCAGUUUGUGUCACCUGACAACUAGUUGGAUUGCCAGCCUAGACUUUGACAUCAAACAGUGCUGUUUUUAAGCCAUAGAAAAGAAGAACUCAUCUCUUUCCCGUUUUCCCUUUUUAAAAAAUCAGACUAGUUUUUGUACUCUAUGAGCCCUGAAACAUGGCCAAUAUG